UACGUAGGCAGCAAGCGUUGUUCGGAGUUACUGGGCGUAAAGGGUGCGUAGGCGGUCCUAUAAGUAUGGUGUGAAAUCUCCCGGCUUAACUGGGAGGGUGCGCUAUAGACUGUGGGACUAGAGUGUGGGAGAGGAAAGUGGAAUUCCUGGUGUAGCGGUGAAAUGCGUAGAUAUCGGGAGGAACACCUGUGGCGAAAGCGGCUCACUGGACCACAACUGACGCUGAGGCGCGAAAGCUAGGGGAGCAAACAGG
Molecule: ribosomal RNA, 253 nt
Filed under: uncultured bacterium
Lineage: Bacteria
Description: partial 16S ribosomal RNA
Rfam family: Bacterial small subunit ribosomal RNA
Source: RNAcentral